CGUCUCAAGGGACUGUGAAACA
Molecule: microRNA, 22 nt
Filed under: Schistosoma mansoni
Lineage: Eukaryota; Metazoa; Platyhelminthes; Trematoda; Strigeidida; Schistosomatidae
Description: sma-miR-2b-5p
Gene: sma-miR-2b-5p
Source: miRBase by way of RNAcentral